UUUUUUUUUUUUUUUUUAUGUGACUAGAAUCAGAGACCACAGCUGGCCAUGUCAUACUUGGAUUAAUACAGAACCCCCAAAACAAAUCCUACUCAAAGACUCAUUUAAUGUUCAAAGAAAAUGGAUGCAUUCAAACAUCUCUCUCUAGCAAAUUUUUUUUUUUUUUAUUCCUCUAAAAUGGACAAAGAUGUUUGUUUCUGCAUGAAGCGUCAAGAGAAAACUACUGACCUCUUCACAAAGUCAGUCUUUGGGUUGUUUUGUUGGAGUAUUUUUCUGGUUUUGGGGGUUUUAAUAUCCUCAUCUACCUCUACAGGUUAUGUGAAGGCUUUAGUCUGUCAUUUGUUCCAAAAAAACCCCCAACUAGGAUACUAAUAUUACACAUUCCCACUGGUUAUAUUACGGAGGACCAGGGCAACUUAUUAAAGGAGAAAUUCCACUAACCUUGGAAUGGUCAUCAAGUAAUUUUCUUGCAAAAUGGAAGUAUUUUCUUAUUUUAAUUUUAUGGAUAUUGUGCAUGAAUGCUGAAGUAAUAUUCACAUGCUGCCAGGCAGUUCCAUAUGCCAGCUUUUUUCUUUCUGCAUACAUGCCAGUGUCAAGUAGCAAAUGUUGUGAAGCCAAAUUGCACACUGCCUACACUUGUACACGUGUCUGUGGUUUUCCCCAAGUCAGUCAGUCCUCCCGUUGUUCAUCUCUCUGCAGGAGGAAAACAAAACAUGCACAGGUGUUCAAAUCUCCUAGAAAACCAUAGUUGUAAUAAAUAAAGCAUAAUCACAGGGUUUUUUCUAGAUCCUACCAAUUUUGGCCAUCCUUCAUAUCCCUAGCACACUAAUACUAAAAAUGAUGGUGUUGGUCAUUCCUUCACUGCUUUAUCAUCCUACUCCUAACCACACAGUGGAAGUAAAUGGGGGUGUUCUCUUGGUUCCUAUUAGGAACCUCAUUACCCCUCCUUUCUCUCUUUCUUGAAUUAAAAAUGUUUCAAUUAGUUCAAUAUGCCUCAUACCUCUUCAGCACACUACUGUCCGUCUGACUCACUUCCAAAUUGAAGUGCAUAUAUAAAAAAAAAUUGAAUCAGUUCAAUGAUUUUAAAUCACUCUUCAAUGUGCAAAGUAAUUUAAAGUUACUGGAGUGCUUCCAAUUUUUAUUAGUCCUUGAAUUUGGAAAUGAUCGAGGCUGUUCUGGGCAUGUGCAAUACACUGUGACUUAAAAUUAUUAUGUCCGUACUUACUUUAAAAAAAAAACCAAAACCAACAAAUUAGAUUUUACUUAACAGCAAAAAACAAUGAGGAGUACCACGGUCCAACUUUAAAAUACAAAAUAGGGGGGUGCAUCAUUCCAGAAGGCAUCAAUCUUGAAAAACUCUUGCAAUUUCAAAGGAAACUGAGAAAUACCAUAAAAUGCUUGAACUGUUCUAUAUGCAGCAUGGAGUCCCAUUUUAAUUGCUACAGCACUUUUGCAUUUAAUUACUUUCAAUGUAUCUAAUUGCUCUAAAUUUAGCAGUUUCCCCAAAAUCAAUAUAAGGACAGAAUCAAAAAGGGCUGACUUUCUCCUUAAAUCUUUUGAAUGCUUAGUGAGGUGAUUAAUCUUUAUGCACAAGACUAGCUCUUAUUGAACUUAAUAUGCCUCCUCACCUGUUUGAGUAGGCUCAGUAAAUGAAUGCUACUCUCUUACCCACAUGAGUAGAUUUACUGGAGUUCUAGAGAAGAUAAAAGGACUGCUUACAGGCAAAAGUAUUAAUAAUGCCAGUGAUGUAAUACUUGAAAGAACUAACUGGACUACUGCUUCUCAACAGUCCAUCCUAAUAUAGCUCUUAGUUUUUUUGAGAUAUAACAGUUGAAGUAUUCCUUUAAGCUGAAGGUCUUCCUAUUCUCCAUCACUAUAAUUAACAAGUAAGGAAUAAAUUAAAAAAAAAAAAAACACAAGUGUUUAUGACCCCUUUAUAUCAACUAAAUUUAUUUGACUGCUGUGAAGGCAGCCUCUUAAGACUGGGUAUUUUUAUACAUCUGGGGAAACCUUCUGGAUUUUUCAUCUGCAAAGCUUCCCAGAAGCUAAAUCAUGGACAUGUGAAGUAAGACUUCCACCUUGGAAGUAUUUUUCAUAAUGUUCACAAAUAACCCCACAAACCUUCAUAUGUUCCUCAUAAAUAUUAUGGAGCAUAACAUGGAGCCCAAGUCUGUGGGGAAGAGGAUUGGCUCUGUGGGGAAGGGGUGUUCCAUUCCAAACAGGCCUAUUUGCUACAAAACUGAAGUGCAGGGAGAUGAAGAGGUUUAAGAUCAAUUACCUGAAACCAGGUGCUGAGCAAAUGGGAAAAGUGAUGCAUCUGGAAUGCACCCUCCUCUUGCACAUCUCACCUGACUCUCAGCAUCUCUAUGGCAGCUGCUGCAGAGGACACAAAAAAACAGUGUAUUUGGUGUCUUGUGUUGCCCCAUUCCCCCAUUGGCACUACAGAGUGAGGAGAAACUACUCCUCAACUUCUCUGUUUCUCUCCCUGUAACAAUAGACUUUGAAAAAAAAAGAAAGAAAAAUUUAAGGAGCCGAACUUCAGCCUUUCAAAAGCAUCUCCUAGCUGUGCCCGAGUGCAUGUUGAAAUUCACUUGCCAGUAGCUGCAGGCAUCAGGCAUGGGAGGGAAAAAAGGCCACACCAUGACCUUAUUUCUCAUUGGGCUCCUGGGAUCCUUCUCUCCCAACUAAACAUCUGCCUAAGAGCUGGCCAGAAGGUAGCUGAGAAGCUGCUUUUAAGAGUAAACAACUCACUGUCAAAGCUCUUAGCAUCAGCACUCUGUGGAGGAAACAGAAGAUUGCCUGUGUCAUAUGAGUUUAAUAUUUGAUACAUCCAUCCACAUAUACCUGGCUAUAUCCUGCCCUUGUAAUGGGGAUGGACUCAAUGAUCUAAUAGAUCUUUUCCAUUUCUAGCUUCUAUUAUCCUAUUAUUAAAAGUAAUGAGCCUCUAAUCUAACAACUGAAAUAAUCAAUAAGAAAGUGAGUUUGUUUUUUUCAAAAUUACUUUAAUUUUAAAAAUACAGCAUGUCCAUUCCCCGCUUCCUGCUUUUGACUGUGAUAAUAAAACUUUCCCAAUGGCUAAUAUAGUUUAGCUAAACAAAUUAGCCAACUGCCCCAUUUAGCGGGAAGAGAAAGUUUCCAUUAGCCAUUCAGAUGUUCUUUGCCUGGUCAGCUAACAAUUUUUGCAAACCAGACACCAGAAGAUAGAUGAUUUUAAACUCACUAUAAGGCUGGAAUACAGUGCUUUACUAGAAACUCACAAAUAGUGUUUUGAAAAUUUGAUGGAAAAUCAGCUUGUCAGUGCCUUGGUCCAGACACGGGAAUGAUUUCCAAAGUAUGUAAGUUCAAAUGUUAGUUCUACCUUAUACUUUUUGUUUCAUUUUGGACAAAUCACUUUAGCUGUCUCCCAGGAAGCAAGGCUGAAAAACCUCCCUUCAUGCUUCUCACUUUAUUACACUGAAGUAGAUAGCUCAUUCAAGAAGCUCCAGCCAAAAUUCCUACAUAUUUUUACAGUGCCAAGCCCAGCAGUUUCAUAACAUUAGUAGGGAUUGUUAGGGAUAUUACAGUAUUAAAAGAAAUAAAAUUUGAUAUAGUAGUAUGAUAUACUGCAGAUUCUUAAUAAUGUAAUUAAACUAAUUACCAAGUGCCACAGAAAAUAUACCAGAACAAUCAUUUUAGAUUACAUACCCUGACUCUAUAGUAGCAAGGUGUUCGGUGUGAAAAGAGCAGAUCAAAGGAUUAUUGCAGUUGGUGCUGAAGGCCCUACAUCUAUAGAAUAGGCACAUUUCAGGAGUUACUUGAACCAGAUUUUAUCUGAUUCCUUGAACAAAAUAUCCCUACCAUGUAUAUAGAAGACCAGCCAUUAUUUUGGGCACUGGUAUGUGGCUGGGAAGUACCUGAAGCUCAACUCAGGUUCAUUUUCCUUCAGAAGGAAUCUAGUUUUCCCCCACAUCACCAAAACCCCCAUGAGCUGAAUCAAUGUCAUGUAAGUGCAAAAAAUCAGAUCAUUUGCUUCUGCUCUAGGCCAAACUCCAAUUCAAAGACAGCUUCUGAAGGGAAGGUACGUGGAGAUCAAUCUGAUGCUGUAACAGCUCUUUGUGCUCUUCUUACCACGUUCCAAAUAAUUCUCUGAGCUUCAAAGGCUUGUUGCUUGACAUGCCACAUGGAGUGAUAGUCACUGAAAAGUCCUCUGAUAAGGGAAGCCAAGAAGGAAAACAUAAGAAGGAAUAUCUUCUAGAGCAAGACACUCAAGAUGUUUCAGUCACUGCCUCCAGAUUCAUUGGUGUCCUCUUCCCCAAUUAUCAAUACUAAUUGAUAGUAUCAAUAUAGGUCUUCUCUGAAUAGUGGAUGAUGGUCACAGUAGCAGUAUUGACUUUCCCAAAACUUUCAGUACAGCUGAUUUUAGUGUACUUUACUGUUCUUUCAUCAUGGUAGUAUAAUGUUACAACCUCAGACAAUUGCAAAUUAAUCCUCCUAUUUUUAAAGAAUAAUCUUCCCAGUGAUACAUCACUGCUCUCAGUAAAGUGUUCUGUACGUGCAUAUCUUUUUAGAUUUUAGAAGAGCAGAGAAAUCCUCUGCCUAUGACAUUUUUCUUGUUGCUGAGAUUUGGAUUUUCUCUCCACCAAAUGUAACUGCAGCGCAAUGGCUGCAAGAAGAACAUAUCUGAGCAUGACAUAAAGGCAAGUCAAACCAAAGUAGCGACACUGAAAGAUCCCUUAAGAAACCAGCAAGCUAGCAAUCCCUCUGGCAUGGCACUCAAUGUCCCAGAAAAUCUUAGAGCCUGUAUUUAUCCUUCACUAACCAUGGCCAGCUAGGUUAAAGAAGACAGACAGCACAUGCAAAUUACAUUACUGCAUUUUUUUUGUUAAGGAUUUGAGGAAAUUAUUAAUCCAUGCCCCCAUUUACAGACAGUGAAAUUGAAAGUGUUUUAUUGAUACAUAUAAAAACUUCCUAGCUUUCUAUGACAUUUCACUGUAUAGGAGAAGUAUAAUAGCUUUCAGAAAUUUUUUUCCUCACCUAGAUUAUUCUGGAAAAUAAGUCUAUUGCUAAACAACUGAAAACAUCUAAUUUCUAAACAACUGUAAACAAAAAUUUAAAAAUUAGGGAAAGGGAGACAACUUCACUCUACUGUUUUUACAGUCAGAGACUAUUUAGCUGCUCAGCCUUGCUCCUUCCAUAAAUGUGUGACUUAACAGCUUUAUUGGAGAAACACCUAAAAUGAAGCAAAGACCCAGUGGUCUUUUGCUUCAACAAGUGAACCCUUUGCUUUGAACAAUGGAGAAAAAUGCCACGGUUUGUUUCUUGACUCAUCGCUUUGCAAUCCCAAAAAGAAAUGUUAAAUUGUUGAGAGCUGCAGAACUUCCAGGAAUACUCUUAAUUAAGACAUAGAGUACCAAGAAGGGUUAAUAUUGUUUGAAAGUAAAAGCUCUCAUUCUAAUAACAAGACCUCUCUCUGUGCACUGCUGGGUCAGCAUGGUAAUUAAGAAAAUUGCCUUUAGUGCAGUUGUUUGGUAAUGCUAUUAUCAUCUUUUUUCAUCUUUUAACAAGAGUAAACUACUUGAAGAUGUCCCCAUUUACUCUUCUUGCUUCUAGUAACCCAUGAACCCAUCAAGUCCAUACUAUGCUAGCAUUUAAUGGCCUAAAUGAGUUACUUUAUCAUCUGGUUCACCCUGAAGUCUUUUACAUAUUUUUCUUGACCUUUAACUUUCUGACUAUUAUUUUGACAGCUAUCAUUAAUGCUGUGUCCUGGGCAACCACACAUUGACUAAGAUGGAUGGCAGAAUGACUGAGGAGUUGAAAGUAACACACACCUACUUUCAUCUUCCUCUUGAUUAAAUCGAAACCAUACAAAGCCAAGCUGCACGAUGGGUCCCAUGGAAGCAGUAGAGAAUAUGAGCCACAGGUUUAGUGAGUAA
This 5912-nucleotide long non-coding RNA is filed under the name Taeniopygia guttata (zebra finch). Its description in RNAcentral is "lncRNA (ENSTGUG00000029149.1)". Lineage: Eukaryota; Metazoa; Chordata; Aves; Passeriformes; Estrildidae. The record is from RNAcentral.